RNAcentral lists this long non-coding RNA (929 nucleotides) under Coffea arabica (coffee). RNAcentral describes it as "long non-coding RNA (CARA_LNC001305)". The record is from RNAcentral. Lineage: Eukaryota; Viridiplantae; Streptophyta; Magnoliopsida; Gentianales; Rubiaceae.
AGUAUGUAGAAUGUUUGGCAAUAUAUAGAAUGUUUACCCGAACAUAUAUCACUUUUUUUUUUGAAUAAAAAAAUUAUUGAUGCAACCAAUAAAAAUACAAAGAUCGGGAUCAACCCAUCCCCAGGAGCACAAGCUCAAAAACCCUGACCACCUCCAGCCAACCCCUACCGCCUGUAUCUACGAAAACUUGGAAAACCAGACGCAUCUAAGGUAAUAUCUCCCCUCACCAACCUAGGUAACGCAUUAUAGGCCUCAUAAAUUGUGGUACACCUAGCCUCCACCCUGUCCGCCGGCUUGUUUGCCUCCCGAAAGCAAUGCGACACGGCUUCAAAAUACCGUCUAUAUUGUUGCAGCUCGAGUAACUCCCUCUACAAUCUCCACGGACACCUAACUAUCCCCUGAAUAAUAUGGACCAAAACCAGUGAAUCAGACUCCAGAUGUAGCUUACCUAAGCCACGGGAUACCCCUAAUCGAACCUCAAAAAGAAGGGCUUUCAUCUCCGCCUGAAGGCUUGUAGCCUCUCCAGAAUAACAUGAAAACCCAAGCAGGAACCUCCUAUCACAAUCCCUGAACAAACCCCUACCUCCACUCCUCCCUGGAUUACCUCUUGAGCACCCGUCGGCAUUCAGUUUCACCACCGAGUGAGUCGGGCACCCUAACAAAUCUCCCUUAUGAUAACCUUGCUCCGCAACCUAGCUAUCAUAUAAAAAAAAAAACCAAUUCGUGAAGUACAAGGCAGUGAUAUCUCCUGAAAAUGAACACCAAAGGAUUCUCUCAACUCCAAGAAGAUCCGAUCACAAACAUGCAUUACCGAAUCUAGUUUACCCUCGAAAAUCCACAUAUUUCGCAUCUUCCAUAAAUUCCAGCAAAUUAAGGAUGGCAAUGUGCGGAGAACAAAACCAAGGUAUGAAUUAAUAGUAGGUCUAGCC